RNAcentral lists this small RNA (616 nucleotides) under uncultured Helotiales. RNAcentral's name for it is "eukaryotic LSU rRNA". The stretch from base 255 to 408 matches the Rfam family "5.8S ribosomal RNA". Lineage: Eukaryota; Fungi; Ascomycota; Leotiomycetes; Helotiales. The record is from RNAcentral.
CUUGGUCAUUUAGAGGAAGUAAAAGUCGUAACAAGGUUUCCGUAGGUGAACCUGCGGAAGGAUCAUUAAUGUAACCGGACCGGUCCUCUGCCGUCAAACGCAGCGGAUCGGAAAGGGAGAUAUCAUACACCCUGUGUUUAUUUACCUUUGUUGCUUUGGCGGGCCGCCCUUUAGGCGUCGGCUCCGGCUGAUCGCGCCCGCCAGAGGACCCAAACUCUUUUAUCAGUGAUGUCUGAGUACUAUAUAAUAGUUAAAACUUUCAACAACGGAUCUCUUGGUUCUGGCAUCGAUGAAGAACGCAGCGAAAUGCGAUAAGUAAUGUGAAUUGCAGAAUUCAGUGAAUCAUCGAAUCUUUGAACGCACAUUGCACCCUUGAGUAUUCUCAGGGGUAUGCCUGUUCGAGCGUCAUUGCAACCCUCAAGCACUGCUUGGUAUUGGAUGCCAUCAACUGUGGUGUAUCUCAAAAGUAUUAGUGGCAGCGUUCAGCUUCUAGUGUAGUAAUUUCUCGCUCUGGAGUUUUGAGUGCCUGUCUGCUAGAACCCCUAAUUUUUAAAAGGUUGACCUCGGAUCAGGUAGGGAUACCCGCUGAACUUAAGCAUAUCAAUAAGCGGAGGAA